UUUGUUAGAUAUUUGUUAUUACCCAGCAGCCCCCCUGCCCCCGCCUCUUCCCUGUCAUCCUUACCGACGGAUGAAACAGAAAGUUCGUGGAUGAGGAGCGAGGUGUGUCGCACUACCAAAGUUCAGUCAAACUUCAUAGAUAUUAACAUUGAAUCAUAGUUAGGCUAAUUGAGUACAUUCUCUUAGGAACACUUUGCACGGUGUUACCUGCUAAUUUGUUACUACGCAACUGGAGGCCCUGCACGUGCACCGACGUCACUCUGUCCCGAGUGUAACAAAGUAACACCUCAGCUAGCUACCUGACGACACGCCAGUUUUCACGUGUGAUAGUUCAUGAGGGAUACGGCCUGAGGGAAGAAGCUGCUCGUAUGCCUCGAUGUUCUGGUGCUCAGAGCUCUGAAGCGCCGGCCGGAGGGCAGCAGGUCAAAGAGUUGGUGACCCGGCUGAGAGGGGCCUGUGAGGUUUUCCUGCCCUUUUCCUCAUUCUGGAGAAGUACAGGUCCUGGAGGGAGGGCAGGGGGGCACCGAUGAUCCUCUCUGCAGUCCUGACUGUCCGUUGCUGUCUCCUCAUGUCUGAUUUGGUCGCACAACCGAAACAGUGAGGGAUGAACACAGGACAGACUCAGUGACUGCAGAGUAGAACUGUUUCAGGAGCUCCUGUAGCAGGUUGAACUUCUUUAGCUGGUGAAGGAAGUACAAGUUCUAACUGGAGGAUCUUGUUGUGCAAUGCACUGAUGACAGCCCCCUUUUGAGUUACCAUGUGAUUACAUGAAUGUGAACUAAGUUAAAACAUGUUUGUUUGGUCUAACACUCAUAUCAAUGUGUUUGUUUGUUGCAGCAGUAAAAAUCAACCUACACUAUUUCUGGAGACCUGAAGUGGAGUUAAGCUGUGAGGUUUUCUGUGUGUAGAAAUUUGAAUUAAAAUCUUUGUUGCAUUAUUAUUUUGAAGUUUAAA
Notolabrus celidotus (New Zealand spotty) is the source of this 954-nucleotide long non-coding RNA. RefSeq lists it as uncharacterized. The transcript has 2 exons. The record is from RefSeq and is a predicted model, not a curated record. Lineage: Eukaryota; Metazoa; Chordata; Actinopteri; Labriformes; Labridae.